AUGUACUUUCACUUGCAUGUAACUGCUCUCUACAUAGAGGUUUGCUUUGCUUAUCUGACCAAAAUAGAAAUCCCCCUGCAGUUCCUGCCUAGAUGUCCAGUGCUGACCACGCCAAGGAUGAUCCACCCCUGCAGAAGAGCCCAAGGAGGAGACCAGCUGGCUCUGAGCCCCUGUUCCAUUGUCUCACCCUGGCCCCUGCAAAGCUCAUGGGGGGAUGGAUUCCUGGCGUCCAAAGAUUGGCUGUUUUCCAUUCAGCCUUUGGUGGAGAGACUAAAGUCUUCUGAAUUUACCCUUUUCUUGAGACACAAAUGUGAUCUGCAUGACUGGCCAACAUCAGGGUUUCCUUGUGGUUUCGUUCUUUAUUUGCUAUCAGGUAAGCAGACACUCUUGGCAAGAUUCUGAAGAGGUUACAUCCGUUUUUAAAUUUCAAAUUUGUUGCCUCCUGUGGAAAAAAUAUGUGCCUUAUUAGCACUCACAGAUCUGGGUAUUCACAAAAAUCUGGUUAGGUAGCCUUUCUGCAUAUUACUGUUUAUUUCUUCAAAUAGAUUAAGGAACUGGGAAGAAUAAUGGAUUAAUGUGCCAUUUGACUUUAUCUUAAAUAUCAGAGAUAUCAGAUAAGUCCUCACUAGGGAGCAGUCUGUGGGGGAUGGGCUAAAAUUCAGGUAUCCCUCACUUUCUGAGUUCCCACCAACUGAAGAUUACAAACAAUUUCACUCCAAAUUCACUCUGAAUCAAAACCCAUACAUGCAAUUAAUCUACAUGCACCUGCCUGCCAAAUAUGUAUGUUAGAAUACACAUCUGGAGCAGAGGAUGCAGAGAGCACUGCAGCCCUAGCUCAGACCUUUUCCUGAUAGGCUGGAUCCUUGCUCAUGUUGUUUACAUGGGCUGUAUAUUGUAAAUAUCUUCACAUUAUUAAAGAAUUAUGAUUUGAACAUUGAUUCAGCCCCUAGCCUGGGAACCUCCAUAUGCCAUGGGUGCAGCCGCAAAAAGACAAAAAAAUUAAUCAUUCAAUUAUUUAACACUUGAUGGGCUUAUCAGUGGUAUGUUUGUAUAUAGCUCUCAAAGAUACUAUACAGGAUCAGAUAUGAGUUGUUUCUUUCUACACUGCAAUGAACAUGCACAUAAUGUGCUGUAUGGAUAUUAUCUCAUUUAAUCCUCUCAGUACCUCCAAAAUAGGUAUUAUUAUCUGCUUUUUAUGGAUGGAAAAAUUAGGUAUCAGAAAGAUUAGGUCAUUCACCCAUGCUUCAUUGCUCAGGUAUCAGAAAGAUUAGGUCAUUACCCAAGCUUCAUUGCUCAGGGGGUAAGGACAUAGCAUAGUUUGCAGACUCAGCUCGGAUAUGGCGUUGCUGUGGCUGUGGUGUAGGUUGGCAGCUGUAGCUCUGAUUUGACCCUUACAAAUAAAGGUUAAUUCAUUUUCUGUCUUUAUCCA
This 1429-nucleotide long non-coding RNA is filed under the name Sus scrofa (pig). RNAcentral describes it as "lncRNA (ENSSSCG00070014392.1)". The record is from RNAcentral. Lineage: Eukaryota; Metazoa; Chordata; Mammalia; Artiodactyla; Suidae.